GACGAACGCUGGCGGCGUGCCUAAUACAUGCAAGUCGAACGCUUCUUUCCUCCCGAGUGCUUGCACUCAAUUGGAAAGAGGAGUGGCGGACGGGUGAGUAACACGUGGGUAACCUACCCAUCAGAGGGGGAUAACACUUGGAAACAGGUGCUAAUACCGCAUAACAGUUUAUGCCGCAUGGCUUAAGAGUGAAAGCCGCUUUCGGGUUUCGCUGGUGGAUGGGCCCGCGGUGCAUUAGCUAGUUGGUGGGGUAACGGCGCACCAAGGCCACGAUGCAUAGCCGACCUGAGAGGGUGAUCGCCCAAACUGGGACUGAGACACGGAGCAGAUUCCUACGGGAGGCAGCAGGUGGGAAUCUUCGGCAAUGGACGAAAGUCUGACCGAGCAACGCCGCGUGAGUGAAGAAGGUUUUCGGAUCGUAAAACUUUGUUGUUAGGGAAGAACGAGGACGUUAGUAACUGAACGUCCCCUGACGGUAUCUAACCAGAAAGCCACGGCUAACUACGUG
Molecule: ribosomal RNA, 508 nt
Filed under: uncultured bacterium
Lineage: Bacteria
Description: partial 16S ribosomal RNA
Rfam family: Bacterial small subunit ribosomal RNA
Source: RNAcentral